AAAAUGGAGCUGCUCAAGUUGUCAAAAUUCAAAUUGCAGCUUCAGUCAAUGAUCGGAGAAGUGCGAGAUCUGCGUGUAAGAAGAAUGAGGUUUCUAUACAUCUAUGGAUUGUGUAUCUUCUUCGCUCCACCAGUUUCUCUCUUCGUCUCCUUCCACUUUACUACCGGCGUUUUUGCAGGAAAGGGAGCGAUCAGUCACAGAUCACAUUAAUCUUGCGAAUCAGAAACAGAAGCAGACGGAGGAGGAAUACAUGAGGAAAGUGCAUGAGCUUCAAGCUGAGUUAGCUUCUUCUAGAGAAACACAGGAGGCACUCGAGAGGAAGGUGAGUUAUCUUCAGAACGACUAUAGUUUGCUGGAAAACAAGCAGAGUGAAUUGAAGACAACUAUCCAAAAUCUGCUUCAAUCACGAGAAAGUUUCUUAACUGCUUACCAGGAGUCGUUUUGUGAAAUGAACUGUUCAAUUGAAGCCAGGGAUAGGAAGAUUGCCAUCCUACAUGAGAAGAUAACCUCUCAUUUAGCAUUGUUUGAUUCGAUUGAGAAAGAGGCAUCGGUAAUUAAGAAGGUCAUACACCAAGUUCAGGACCUUGUGGAUCAAAAAGAAGAUGUAGUGGCUGGCUUGAAAGAGAAAAUGGACCAUGUCUCUACAUAUGAAAAAGUGUUUAUAGAGAACAUCAGAGCUUUAGAAGAGAAACUUGAAUAUCAUGAAACAGAAUUGCAGAGCAAGGAGAAUAUAAUAUCAGAGCUUUCGGCUCAGCUGGAAUCAGAAAAGAUUAAAAAUGAACAUCAACAUCAAGUCGAAGAGCUUCAGAAAACUUUGCAGGUCAAAGAUUUAGCUGUAGAGAACUUAAUUUCUGAAAAAGAGGCAUUGUAUUCUGAAGUGAAGGGUUUAGAGAUGAUUUUACAGCGGAUUCAGGAGUCUGUAUCCCUUAUGACUGAAGAGGAUAGAAAGGUGUUUACAUCAAUACUGACAUUCGAACAAGGUUCCAAUGAGAAAAACAAAAGAUCCAGGCACAAUGACACAGUUGACAAAAUGGAGGAACUUCUAUGUGAAGCUCCUGUUAUGCAUUCUCAAGAAAACUCAGUAAAAGUUAUUCCAUCAGCGUCUCCAAGGUGUCAGCACCAAAACACAGACUGCAGAAUGAUACAAGAUGAUGAUCAUCAACUGGAUUCGGCUGAGUACCUGCUGCAUAACACUGUCAGUGGCCAUUGGCAGAGUACUAAUAACCACAACCACUUUGAGAUUGAGGACAAGUACAAAGAGUUGAUGAACCAGCCAGAUUCAGAGUGCUCAACGAAUCGCGUUUAAGAGUUAAGUGUCUCAUCAUGAUUUGUGAUUGUUAUCACUUAAACUCUUAUGUUGGUUUUUUGACCUCAUAAACUGCAGUAUUUGCAGGAGUUGAAGAACCGACGACAUUGGUACAGUAAAUAUCACAGGGAUAUCAAUUAUUAAGCUUGAAGAAAGUUCGUUUGGUGGGGACUCGGUCAUAUAAACGACGAGAACAUGAGUUUUCUACAUUUGCACGCAAUGAAAUUAGACGUGGACAAAUUAAAAGAUACUACAAUUUAUCUUGGUAAAUUAACUCGUCCGUAGUUAAUUGGCCUUAAUAUGAAGGGAACAAAUUUUGAUUACUUUGGUGGUGAAUACGACAAGUGCAACAGAGGAGUAGCCACUUAUAAGUCUUGAAUUACGUUUCAUCUAUGUAUUAAUCUUACUCAUUUAUUGGGUUGUCUAAGAAACAAAAACAACAAAGGUUAUUGGGAGUAUCAAAGAUGGCACAGAUGGUCCACCAUUCGAUUUCUUAGUUGGAUCCAACUGUCUUACAUUUAUCAGUUUAUGAAUGUGCAUGUAAACAAAUCAAAUGCUGACAGAAAACGAAAAAAGUAAGAGAAAAAAAAACUGGUACGGACUUACGUAGAGAGAGUUGCUUAAAAAAGGCCAUCAAUUAAAUAAUUAAAAAGGAAACGUGUUUUUAAUUAUACCUUUUUGUAAUGUGUGUAUGAUAUGAUUAUGACCCAUUAAAUGUAAGUUUGGUAAUCUAGACAGGUUUGAGAACUUAAUCACUAGAUUUAACAUCUUUGAUGGAAACUUUCCAUGUUUAAGCGAUAAAGAUUAUCAGCCGAGGACCUUUAAGAAGAGUUCACUUAAUUGGUUACACCUUUUUCCACUUCUACAUUAAUUAUGAUGGUUUUUUCUUUUCUUUUAUUAUUUUAUGAAUUUUAACUAGAAUUAUACUGUACUAGAUAGUAGAUAUUAAUUUACUCACCAAAAAAAAAAAAAAGA
Molecule: RNA transcript, 2281 nt
Organism: Arabidopsis lyrata subsp. lyrata
Lineage: Eukaryota; Viridiplantae; Streptophyta; Magnoliopsida; Brassicales; Brassicaceae
Gene name: myosin-11
Exons: 14
Source: RefSeq, a predicted model, not a curated record